RNAcentral lists this long non-coding RNA (738 nucleotides) under Homo sapiens (human). Its description in RNAcentral is "novel transcript". Lineage: Eukaryota; Metazoa; Chordata; Mammalia; Primates; Hominidae. The record is from RNAcentral.
CCCUCUUGAAGGAGAAGCCUUGAGUUGUGCAUCUUCUCUUGAUUUUACUGAGAGGAAAAAGAUGUGAAGAGGCAUUCUGUCUUGGCACUGAGCUGUGCUAACUUGGGGGAGAGGCUGAUGCAGAUUGACCUUGCUAGGUUAUAGAGGCAUGUUCUAUCGUCUUUAUUAAGGACCAAUGACCUUCUAAGAAGAGGAAGACACACCAGGCAUGCACACGCACAGAAAAGAAGACCAUGUGAGGGCACAGCAAGAAGAUGGCCAUCUGCAAACUAAGAGGAGAGGCCUCAUUAGAACCUAACCCUGCACCAUGAUCAUGGACUUCCAGCCUUCAGAGUUAGGAAAAUAAAAUUCUGUUGUUUAUGCCACCAAAUCUGUGGUAUUCGCUUAUGAAAACCAUAGAAAAUUAUACAAUACCCAACAAGCAAAUAGCAGAAUGGAAUUAAACCCAUAAAGGAUGGCUUCAAAGGCAAUGCUUAACCACUAUACUGCCUUUAAAAAUUGUCCUAACAGUUCAACUUCAAUUACAGAAAGUUUAUAAUAAUUAGAUGUUAAUACUUUUAUGCUUAACUUUAUAUUUCUAUUUCAAAUGCUUAUUUCCUUUUCAAUAGUUAAUAUUUUCUGGACAGCAAUUCUGGACUAUUUUCUAAAUUCUCUGUUUUCUAAAUUCUUAUGUCAUGCCCUCUGUCAUAAGAAUGUUUAUACCCUAUGAUCUUCUAAAAAUAAAUCCUUAAAAGAUGA